CGAAAACUUCCCUUAUAUCUCCAGAGACUGAGGGUGACAAUGGCAACCUUUUGAAAACUGUGACAGUAGGAGGAAAAAACAUGAUCUACAUAAUUCCACGUCAGGAGAAAACUGAUAUGUCUCCUCUUCCUCUGGAUGCUCUAGAACUUCAAAGCAUCAUGGGAAGUUUGCAGUGUUACCUUGCAGUUGCAAGUCUUGGCUGUCCGUGUAAAAUCAUGUGUUGACCUCAGAUCUUCAAGAGACGACUUUGAAAUUUCAAAGGAGCAGUGCUGGUGAAGGUACCCCAGUGGCGUCAACAUCAAGUACAAAUGAUGCCUGGAACACAUCUGAAAUGGUUGCAGGUAUUGAGAGGUCUUCUUCUUGAAGGGAUUUCAUGGCUGCGCACCAAAGUAUUUCCUGUCUGAUUUGGACAGAGGUCAUUUCAGGACUAUUGGAGAAAUAAUUGCUGUCAGUUUGGCUCCAGGGGGACCAGCUCCAAACUUAAUGAUGCCUUGGUGCUACAAAGUCUUGUGCUCUGGAUCCCUUGAAUUUGAAAGCAGGGACAAAAAUGAUGUGGCAG
Long non-coding RNA from Girardinichthys multiradiatus, 559 nucleotides. RefSeq lists it as uncharacterized. The record is from RefSeq and is a predicted model, not a curated record. Lineage: Eukaryota; Metazoa; Chordata; Actinopteri; Cyprinodontiformes; Goodeidae. The transcript is spliced from 4 exons.